RNAcentral lists this ribosomal RNA (465 nucleotides) under uncultured bacterium. Its description in RNAcentral is "partial 16S ribosomal RNA". It matches the Rfam family "Bacterial small subunit ribosomal RNA", at positions 338 to 795 of the family's 1533-position model. The record is from RNAcentral.
CCUACGGGAGGCAGCAGUAGGGAAUCUUCCACAAUGGGCGAAAGCCUGAUGGAGCAACGCCGCGUGGGUGAAGAAGGUCUUCGGAUCGUAAAACCCUGUUGUUAGAGAAGAAAGUGCGUGAGAGUAACUGUUCACGUUUCGACGGUAUCUAACCAGAAAGCCACGGCUAACUACGUGCCAGCAGCCGCGGGAAUACGUAGGUGGCAAGCGUUAUCCGGAUUUAUUGGGCGUAAAGGGAACGCAGGCGGUCUUUUAAGGCUGAUGUGAAAGCCUUCGGCUUAACCGGAGUAGUGCAUUGGAAACUGGGAGGCUUGAGUGCAGAAGAGGAGAGUGGAACUCCAUGUGUAGCGGUGAAAUGCGUAGAUAUAUGGAAGAACACCAGUGGCGAAAGCGGCUCUCUGGUCUGUAACUGACGCUGAGGUUCGAAAGCGUGGGUAGCAAACAGGAUUAGAUACCCUAGUAGUC